This 65-nucleotide transfer RNA is filed under the name Freysuila caesalpiniae. RNAcentral's name for it is "tRNA-Arg". The record is from RNAcentral. Lineage: Eukaryota; Metazoa; Arthropoda; Insecta; Hemiptera; Psyllidae.
AGAUAAAGAAGUAAUAAUAAUUACAAUUAGUUUCGACCUAUUCAUAGAGAAUCAGUCUCCAUAUC